GCAGACGUGGCCGAGUGGUUAAGGCGUCAGGCUGCUAACUUGAUGGGUGUACCCGCGCGCGUUCGAAUCGCGUCGUCUGCG
This 81-nucleotide transfer RNA is filed under the name Monoraphidium minutum. Its description in RNAcentral is "tRNA-Ser". It matches the Rfam family "tRNA". From Rfam's summary of the family: Transfer RNA (tRNA) molecules are approximately 80 nucleotides in length. Their secondary structure includes four short double-helical elements and three loops (D, anti-codon, and T loops). The record is from RNAcentral. Lineage: Eukaryota; Viridiplantae; Chlorophyta; Chlorophyceae; Sphaeropleales; Selenastraceae.